AGGAUGAACGCUGGCGGCGUGCUUAACACAUGCAAGUCGAGCGGAAAGGCCCUUCGGGGUACUCGAGCGGCGAACGGGUGAGUAACACGUGAGUAAUCUGCCCCUAGCUCUGGGAUAGCUCCGGGAAACCGGGAUUAAUACCAGAUACGACCACUUUAGACAUCUUCUGUGGUGGAAAGAACUUCGGCUAGGGAUGAACUCGCGGCCUAUCAGCUUGUUGGUGAGGUAACGGCUCACCAAGGCGACGACGGGUAGCCGGCCUGAGAGGGCGACCGGCCACACUGGGACUGAGACACGGCCCAGACUCCUACGGGAGGCAGCAGUGGGGAAUAUUGCGCAAUGGGCGAAAGCCUGACGCAGCGACGCCGCGUGGGGGAUGAAGGCCUUCGGGUUGUAACCCCUUUCAGCAGGGACGAAGCGAAAGUGACGGUACCUGCAGAAGAAGCGCCGGCUAACUACGUGCCAGCAGCCGC
RNAcentral lists this ribosomal RNA (473 nucleotides) under uncultured bacterium. RNAcentral's name for it is "SSU rRNA". It matches the Rfam family "Bacterial small subunit ribosomal RNA", at positions 26 to 518 of the family's 1533-position model. The record is from RNAcentral.